This is an RNA transcript of Amblyraja radiata (thorny skate), 2224 nucleotides long. It is a transcript of the gene named alpha-L-iduronidase-like, with no coding region annotated. The transcript is spliced from 13 exons. Lineage: Eukaryota; Metazoa; Chordata; Chondrichthyes; Rajiformes; Rajidae. The record is from RefSeq and is a predicted model, not a curated record.
GAUAAAUGGCAAACUUCAGUACACUUUUACAAACUUGGAUGGUUUAAUUCACAGACUCUGGCAAAAUGAGCUAACACCAGGAUUUGAACUCAUGGGAAAUCCUUCAGGUUAUUUUACCAAUUUUGAAGAAAAAAUACAGGUGUUUGAAUGGAAAAAAAUGAUCGCUAUUAUGGCACAAAGGUAUAUAGAUAUGUACGGUAUGGCAUAUGUGUCAAAGUGGAAUUUUGAAACAUGGAAUGAACCAGAUCAUCACGACUUUGAUAAUUUAACAUUCACAGUACCAGGAUUCCAAAACUACUAUGAUGCGUGUUCUGAAGGUCUGAAAGAGGCAAGCACACUACUUAAAUUUGGUGGUCCUGGAGGUUCAUGCCAUCCUCCCCCCCACUCACCAAUUUGUUGGGGCUUGCUAAAUCACUGCUCGAAUGGAACCAACUUCUUUACAGGAGAGAUUGGAAUACGAUUGGAUUAUAUUGCAAUACACAAAAAAGGUGCUGGUAGUUCUCUACACAUCAUAGAGCAAGAAUUGGAUACAGUUAAUCAGAUCCAGAAACGCUUUCCUGAAUUCCAGUCAAUUCCCGUUUACAAUGAUGAGGCUGAUCCACUGGUCGGUUGGGCAAUUCCUCAGGUUUGGAGAGCUGAAGUGACUUAUGCUGCAAUGGUUGCUAAGGUAAUAUCACAGCAUCAGAAUUUACUAAUUGCAAAUCCAGAGAGCACCAUCAAUUUUACAUUGCUUAGCAAUGAUAAUGCCUUCCUGAACUACCACCCAAACUACUUUACACAGCGGACCCUUACUGCCAGAUUUCAGAUGAACAAUACAAAACCACCACAUGUACAGAUGAUUCGCAAACCAGUGCUCACUGUUAUGGGACUGUUGGCGUUAUUAGGUGAGAAACAACUGGAAGCAGAUGUGAUGCUCAGUGGCAAAACCUUAGAUUGGAAUAGUACUUUGGGAGCACUGGCAAGUAUUCAUGAACCUUCAGAUCAUCAUUCCUCUGACAGUUGGCAAUCCGCAAUAUUAAUUUACAAUAGCGAUGACAUUCGGACAUCGUUAUAUGUUACCACGGUGACUGUCAACCUGACUCAUUUUCCUACCCAAAGAGGACUCAUGUAUGUCAUUUACCACCUGAACAACAAUGACACCAACCCUUACCUGCAGUGGAAGAUUUUUGGAAGACCAGAUUUUCCAACAGUGGAUAAUUUUCGUAUUAUGAGGGAAAUGGAGGACCCAGUAGUUAAAGGACCAAUGCCAUUUCCUGCAGAAGGAACACUCAUUUUAAAACUGCAGCUUCCUGUUCCUUCUGUGUAUCUUCUGCACAUCUGCGCAAAGCCCAAAGGGCCUCCAAAUCAGGUUAAUGGAGUGAGUUUCAUACCUCUGACUCUGGGUCAAGUGGCCAUCAGCUGGACUGAUGGUUGUGUAAAUUCAAAAUGUUUAAAAACAUUUGAAGUAGAGUUUUCAAUUGAUGGGAAAGUUUACAAAAGGAUUAAUGAUAAGGACACUAUAUUUACCAUUUUUGUAUAUGCUCCAUUCAGCAAGAGAAAAGAUCUUUCACAGGUGUCUGGCUUCUACAAGAUUCGUGCAGUAAACUAUUGGGGCAAAGCUGGAAAAUAUUCUAACCCUGUUAAAUACGUUGAAGGGAAAUAUUACUAAAUGUUUAUGAGGAACAAUUGUAAUAUCAAUAUGUACAUACAUGAGUCUGCUCUAAGCAGGAUGGCUUGUGACCAGGAAGGAAGCUCACAGGUUUUGACAUUCCCCUUUUUCCUGUUGCACCUCAUCCUUUUGGGUGGUGGAGGUCAUGGCUUUCAGGCUGGGUGUAUGGGAAGGAACUGCAGAUGUUGGCUUACACUUACAGAUAGACACAAAAUGCUGGAGUGACUCAGCGGGACAGGCAGCAUCUCUGGAGAGAAGGAAUGGGUGAUGUUUUGGGUUAAGACCCUUCAGGCUGGGAGCAGGCGGAGAGGGAGGGCAAAGGGCCAUUUCAGAAGCCUUUAAGAAAGAACUGCAGAUGCUGGAAAAAUCGAAGGUAGACAAAAAUGCUGGAGAUACUCAGCGGGCAAGGCAGCAUCUGUGGAACGAAUGAAUAGGUGACGUUUCAGGUCGAGACCCUUCUUCAGACUGAUCAGAAGCCUUGAUGAGUUGCUGCAAAUUCCUUUGAAGAUAAGAUGCACAGCAGCCGUGCUGUGGCAGCUGUGGAAGAGCUGGGCCAGUGGUGGAGGAGUUAAGGGC